This 552-nucleotide ribosomal RNA is filed under the name uncultured prokaryote. RNAcentral's name for it is "bacterial SSU rRNA". It matches the Rfam family "Bacterial small subunit ribosomal RNA", at positions 352 to 873 of the family's 1533-position model. The record is from RNAcentral.
CAGUAGGGAAUCUUCCGCAAUGGACGAAAGUCUGACCGAGCAACGCCGCGUGAGUGAUGAAGGUUUUCGGAUCGUAAAACUCUGUUGUUAGGGAAGAACAAGUGUGUGAGUAACUACUCACGCCUUGACGGUAUCUAACCAGAAAGCCACGGCUAACUACGUGCCAGCAGCCGCGGUAAUACGUAGGUGGCAAGCGUUUUCCGGAAUUAUUGGGCGUAAAGCGCGCGCAGGCGGUUUUUUAAGUCUGAUGUGAAAGCCCCCGGCUCAACCGGGGAGGGUCAUUGGAAACUGGGAAACUUGAGUGCAGAAGAGGAGAGUGGAAUUCCACGUGUAGCGGUGAAAUGCGUAGAGAUAUGGAGGAACACCCGUGGGGAAGGCGGCUUUCUGGUCUGUAACUGACGCUGAGGCGCGAAAGCGUGGGGAGCGAACAGGAUUAGAUACCCCGGUAGUCCACGCCCUAAACGAUGAGUGCUAAGUGUUGGGGGGUUUCUCCGCCCUCAGUGCGCAGCGGACGGCGUCGAGGCACGGCGCGGGAAACUGAGACAUAGUCGC